UAUUGAGGUCCAGUUUACAUCCAGUAC
RNAcentral lists this non-coding RNA (27 nucleotides) under Homo sapiens (human). The record is from RNAcentral. Lineage: Eukaryota; Metazoa; Chordata; Mammalia; Primates; Hominidae.